This 713-nucleotide ribosomal RNA is filed under the name Krasilnikoviella sp. Its description in RNAcentral is "bacterial SSU rRNA". It matches the Rfam family "Bacterial small subunit ribosomal RNA", at positions 82 to 810 of the family's 1533-position model. Lineage: Bacteria; Bacillati; Actinomycetota; Actinomycetes; Micrococcales; Promicromonosporaceae. The record is from RNAcentral.
GCUGGGUGGAUCAGUGGCGAACGGGUGAGUAACACGUGAGCAACCUGCCCUCCACUUCGGGAUAAGCCUUGGAAACGGGGUCUAAUACCGGAUAUGAGCAUCCAUCGCAUGGUGGGUGUUGGAAAGUUUUUCGGUGGGGGAUGGGCUCGCGGCCUAUCAGCUUGUUGGUGGGGUGAUGGCCUACCAAGGCGUCGACGGGUAGCCGGCCUGAGAGGGCGACCGGCCACACUGGGACUGAGACACGGCCCAGACUCCUACGGGAGGCAGCAGUGGGGAAUAUUGCACAAUGGGCGCAAGCCUGAUGCAGCGACGCCGCGUGAGGGAUGACGGCCUUCGGGUUGUAAACCUCUUUCAGCAGGGAAGAAGCGCAAGUGACGGUACCUGCAGAAGAAGCGCCGGCUAACUACGUGCCAGCAGCCGCGGUAAUACGUAGGGCGCAAGCGUUGUCCGGAAUUAUUGGGCGUAAAGAGCUCGUAGGCGGUCUGUCGCGUCUGGUGUGAAAUCCCGAGGCUCAACCUCGGGCUUGCAUCGGGUACGGGCAGACUAGAGUGCGGUAGGGGAGACUGGAAUUCCUGGUGUAGCGGUGGAAUGCGCAGAUAUCAGGAGGAACACCGAUGGCGAAGGCAGGUCUCUGGGCCGCAACUGACGCUGAGGAGCGAAAGCAUGGGGAGCGAACAGGAUUAGAUACCCUGAUAGUCCAUGCCGUAAACGUU